Teladorsagia circumcincta is the source of this 72-nucleotide non-coding RNA. The record is from the annotation of a GenBank genome assembly. NCBI's taxonomy places the organism in Eukaryota, Metazoa, Nematoda, Chromadorea, Rhabditida, Trichostrongylidae.
UGCACUCGACGGGAAUCGAACACAUGACCAGCCGCAUAACAAGCGAGAGCCUUACCACUACACUACAGCAGC